RNAcentral lists this ribosomal RNA (253 nucleotides) under uncultured Gardnerella sp. RNAcentral describes it as "partial 16S ribosomal RNA". It matches the Rfam family "Bacterial small subunit ribosomal RNA", at positions 101 to 354 of the family's 1533-position model. Lineage: Bacteria; Bacillati; Actinomycetota; Actinomycetes; Bifidobacteriales; Bifidobacteriaceae. The record is from RNAcentral.
AACGGGUGAGUAAUGCGUGACCAACCUGCCCCAUGCUCCAGAAUAGCUCUUGGAAACGGGUGGUAAUGCUGGAUGCUCCAACUUGACGCAUGUCUUGUUGGGAAAGUGUUUAGUGGCAUGGGAUGGGGUCGCGUCCUAUCAGCUUGUAGGCGGGGUAAUGGCCCACCUAGGCUUCGACGGGUAGCCGGCCUGAGAGGGCGGACGGCCACAUUGGGACUGAGAUACGGCCCAGACUCCUCGGGAGGCAGCAGGG